GAUGAAGAACGCAGCGAAAUGCGAUAAGUAGUGUGAAUUGCAGAAUUCAGUGAAUCAUCGAAUCUUUGAACGCACAUUGCGCCCCUUGGUAUUCCAUGGGGCAUGCCUGUUCGAGCGUCAUUUGUACCUUCAAGCUCUGCUUGGUGUUGGGUGUUUGUCUCGCCUCUGCGCGUAGACUCGCCUCAAAACAAUUGGCGGCCGGCGUAUUGAUUUCGGAGCGCAGUACAUCUCGCGCUUUGCACUCAUAACGACGACGUCCAAAAGUACAUUUUUACACUCUUGACCUCGGAUCAGGUAGGGAUACCCGCUGAACUUAAGCAUAUCAAUAAGCGGAGGA
Molecule: unclassified non-coding RNA, 337 nt
Filed under: soil metagenome
Description: partial contains 5.8S ribosomal RNA, internal transcribed spacer 2, and large subunit ribosomal RNA
Rfam family: 5.8S ribosomal RNA (bases 1-120)
Source: RNAcentral